AUUCUGCCCAUGCGGGGAAGGAUGAGAAGCUUCGACCAAGGUCGACGUCGAGCGCCAGCGAGAGAGCGUUGCCGCAGGCAACGACCCGAAGGGCGAAGCGCGCAGCGCUGAGUAAUCCUUCCCCCACCACCA
Molecule: small RNA, 132 nt
Filed under: Escherichia coli
Lineage: Bacteria; Pseudomonadati; Pseudomonadota; Gammaproteobacteria; Enterobacterales; Enterobacteriaceae
Description: RtT sRNA
Rfam family: RtT RNA
About the family: This family represents a bacterial cis-regulatory element known as RtT RNA.
Source: RNAcentral